GAUGAACGCUGGCGGCGUGCCUAAUACAUGCAAGUCGAGCGAACAGACGAGGAGCUUGCUCCUCUGACGUUAGCGGCGGACGGGUGAGUAACACGUGGAUAACCUACCUAUAAGACUGGGAUAACUUCGGGAAACCGGAGCUAAUACCGGAUAACAUGUUGAACCGCAUGGUUCAACAGUGAAAGACGGUCUUGCUGUCACUUAUAGAUGGAUCCGCGCCGCAUUAGCUAGUUGGUAAGGUAACGGCUUACCAAGGCAACGAUGCGUAGCCGACCUGAGAGGGUGAUCGGCCACACUGGAACUGAGACACGGUCCAGACUCCUACGGGAGGCAGCAGUAGGGAAUCUUCCGCAAUGGGCGGAAGCCUGACGGAGCAGCGCCGCGUGAGUGAUGAAGGUCUUCGGAUCGUAAAGCUCUGUUAUUAGGGAAGAACAAAUGUGUAAGUAACUAUGCACGUCUUGACGGUACCUAAUCAGAAAGCCACGGCUAACUACGUG
Molecule: ribosomal RNA, 497 nt
Filed under: uncultured bacterium
Lineage: Bacteria
Description: partial 16S ribosomal RNA
Rfam family: Bacterial small subunit ribosomal RNA
Source: RNAcentral